This is a long non-coding RNA of Jaculus jaculus (lesser Egyptian jerboa), 509 nucleotides long. RefSeq lists it as uncharacterized. NCBI's taxonomy places the organism in Eukaryota, Metazoa, Chordata, Mammalia, Rodentia, Dipodidae. The record is from RefSeq and is a predicted model, not a curated record. The transcript is spliced from 4 exons.
GUCGUCGACCGUGGUUCCCCUUGCACUCUCCCUCAGGAGAUUUCCCCAAGAAGGAGGGCGCCUACUUCGGGCCAGGAUAGACCUGCGGCGGCGGCGGGAACGGCCACGCACAGAGACUUGUCACUCCCUAGGAAGUCUUUUGGGUUUCCCAUCUGAGAGGCACCAUUUCAGCACAUCAGAUACCAACACUUUUUCCCUAUUUGUAUGCUUCCCUCACCAUCAAGAGCAUUCAGAUUGUCUCCUCUUUCCUACAAUCCUCAGGUUAGAAGAACUGUCACCACCCAUGCCCAUAAUUAGGGCAUAAGAUUAUAUCCUGUAUGACAAUAUAAGGGGGAACACAGAUACACAGGUGGAUUGUAUUUCCCAGCCUCCGUUGCAGUGGCCUAUACCAUAUGACUAGUUCUCACCAAUGGAAUGUGAGUGGAAGCUCCGUGUCAUUUCUUCCUCUAGGCAGCCCCAUCAUUCUUGCUGUGCUUGUCACACCCACACAGAUAACUACAAGGUUUCUA